GCAGUCGAGCGGAUGACAGGAGCUUGCUCCUGUAAUUCAGCGGCGGACGGGUGAGUAAUGCCUAGGAAUCUGCCUGGUAGUGGGGGACAACGUUUCGAAAGGAACGCUAAUACCGCAUACGUCCUACGGGAGAAAGCAGGGGACCUUCGGGCCUUGCGCUAUCAGAUGAGCCUAGGUCGGAUUAGCUAGUUGGUGAGGUAAUGGCUCACCAAGGCGACGAUCCGUAACUGGUCUGAGAGGAUGAUCAGUCACACUGGAACUGAGACACGGUCCAGACUCCUACGGGAGGCAGCAGUGGGGAAUAUUGGACAAUGGGCGAAAGCCUGAUCCAGCCAUGCCGCGUGUGUGAAGAAGGUCUUCGGAUUGUAAAGCACUUUAAGUUGGGAGGAAGGGCAUUAACCUAAUACGUUAGUGUUUUGACGUUACCGACAGAAUAAGCACCGGCUAACUCUGUGCCAGCAGCCGCGGUAAUACAGAGGGUGCAAGCGUUAAUCGGAAUUACUGGGCGUAAAGCGCGCGUAGGUGGUUUGUUAAGUUGGAUGUGAAAGCCCCGGGCUCAACCUGGGAACUGCAUUCAAAACUGACUGGCUAGAGUAUGGUAGAGGGUGGUGGAAUUUCCUGUGUAGCGGUGAAAUGCGUAGAUAUAGGAAGGAACACCAGUGGCGAAGGCGACCACCUGGA
This 681-nucleotide ribosomal RNA is filed under the name bacterium CaletaPS41. RNAcentral describes it as "bacterial SSU rRNA". It matches the Rfam family "Bacterial small subunit ribosomal RNA", at positions 57 to 733 of the family's 1533-position model. The record is from RNAcentral.